UAGAAUUUUAUAUUAACUUUACCUAGCGGUUAAUGCUGGUUUUUUGUUAAUAUUUGGUUGGGAGGAUUAUUAAAUUUAACAAACUUUAUAUCAUUAUAAACUUUGAUUUAAGAAAAUAUAAUGACCUUCAAUUUGAAAUAGUUAGAGUAAAUUACCUUAGGGAUAACAGCGUAAUAUUUUUUUAUAGACCUUAUAGAAAAAAAUGGUUGCGACCUCGAUGUUGAAUUAAGAUAAAUUUUAAAUGCAGGAGUUUAAUAAUUAAGU
This 264-nucleotide ribosomal RNA is filed under the name Lepidotrigona ventralis. Its description in RNAcentral is "partial large subunit ribosomal RNA". Lineage: Eukaryota; Metazoa; Arthropoda; Insecta; Hymenoptera; Apidae. The record is from RNAcentral.